Molecule: ribosomal RNA, 494 nt
Filed under: uncultured bacterium
Lineage: Bacteria
Description: partial 16S ribosomal RNA
Rfam family: Bacterial small subunit ribosomal RNA
Source: RNAcentral
GAUGAACGCUGGCGGCGCGCCUAAUACAUGCAAGUCGAACGGACAGGCCUGCUUUCCCUUGUGGAUUGCGGGUACUCGAGUGGCGAACGGGUGAGUAACACGUGAGUAAUCUGCCCCCAACUUGGGUAUAAGCCUGGGAAACUGGGUCGAAUACUCGAUAGGACUGCAGGGUGCUGCCUGUGGUGGAAAACGUUCUUCUAGUGGUUGGGGAUGAGCCGGCGGCGUAUCUGCUUGUUGGUGGGGCAAUGGCCUACCAAGGCGGCGAGGGGUAGCCAGACUGGGAGCGUGGACGGCCACAUUGAGACUGGGACACGGCCCAGACUGCUGGGGGCGGCAGCGGUGGUGAAUAUUGCACCGUGGGCGUAAGCGUGAUGCGGCGACGCAGCGUGGAAGAUGUCCGGCUUCGGGUUGUAAGCUCCUUUCGACCGCGAAGAAGCUACCUGGCUGGGAGCGUGGUGACGGUAGUUGUAGAAGAAGCACCGGCUAACUACGUG